CAGUCGCCACGGGAAUACGGAGGGUGCAAGCGUUACUCGGAAUUACUGGGCGUAAAGCGUGCGUAGGUGGUGGUUUAAGUCCGUUGUGAAAGCCCUGGGCUCAACCUGGGAAUUGCAGUGGAUACUGGGUCACUAGAGUGUGGUAGAGGAUAGUGGAAUUUCCGGUGUAGCAGUGAAAUGCGUAGAGAUCGGAAGGAACAUCUGUGGCGAAGGCGACUAUCUGGGCCAACACUGACACUGAGGCACGAAAGCGUGGGGAGCAAACAGGAUUAGAUACCCCCGUAGUCCCUGUCUCUUAUAC
RNAcentral lists this ribosomal RNA (301 nucleotides) under uncultured bacterium. Its description in RNAcentral is "partial 16S ribosomal RNA". It matches the Rfam family "Bacterial small subunit ribosomal RNA", at positions 509 to 807 of the family's 1533-position model. The record is from RNAcentral.